Molecule: ribosomal RNA, 120 nt
Filed under: Olea europaea subsp. europaea
Lineage: Eukaryota; Viridiplantae; Streptophyta; Magnoliopsida; Lamiales; Oleaceae
Source: RNAcentral
GGGUGCGACCAUACCAGCAUUAACGCAUUGGAUCCCAUCAGAACUCUGAAGUUAAAGCGUGCUUGGGCGAGGGUAGUACUAGGAUGGGUGACCCCCUAGGAAGUCCUCGUGCUGCAACCC